CACUUUCUGGGCAGUUUUGAGUACCUAACACUAAUUUGGACGAAAUUGGACUAAAACUUGACUCAAGACACUUAAAAACACAACUAAAUUGAUUUCUAACUAAUCUAACACUUUAAAAUAAAUGGGGGAUUGAUUUUGACGAACUUAAAACUUUAAAACUUAAACUUUGAAAACAAACUUAAAGCAAAACAGAUUGUGAUGAAAUAGAAUGAUGAGAAACUAGUUAGAGGGUUCCUUAUCCGCACAUGAACAUAUGCAUACAACUCGAUCUCCAAUUACUCUUUCAACAAACCAUGAAUGACAAUGCCCCAAAUUAACUAGAUUGCACCAAUUAAUUCUCAGAUUUCCCUAGAUUCAUUGAAUUGAAUGGAAUACGCAUUACAACCAAAUUAUUCUUAUCAAGGGCCCUAACUAUGGAAUACGCAUGAUAGAGACCACAUAUCAAAGAUCAUUAAGUUCAAUGGAAAUCAUAAGCAUUGACGAGGCAUUCAUAA
This 494-nucleotide long non-coding RNA is filed under the name Malus domestica (apple). RNAcentral's name for it is "long non-coding RNA (MDOM_LNC021265)". Lineage: Eukaryota; Viridiplantae; Streptophyta; Magnoliopsida; Rosales; Rosaceae. The record is from RNAcentral.